Felis catus (domestic cat) is the source of this 2669-nucleotide long non-coding RNA. RefSeq lists it as uncharacterized. The record is from RefSeq and is a predicted model, not a curated record. Lineage: Eukaryota; Metazoa; Chordata; Mammalia; Carnivora; Felidae. The transcript has 4 exons.
CAAAAUGUUGAUAUUGGACUCGUUGGAGGAGCAGGCUUAGGUUCCAUUGUGAUAUGUGAGUCAAUAGCCAAUGGGAAUUGAAGUUGUAUCUAAAAUGACAAGCAAAUGAAGGUACAGCUUUCAAAUUCUAAAAGCAUGUAGGCUCUGUUGCCAAAGUCAAGAUGGCUGUUAACUGUUCCUGUCUCACUUUCCCCAAGCUCAGCAGUCCUAAUGGAUAGAGAACAUCUUUCCAGUUAAUGACCCUCUCAGAAAAGACCAAAGUUGACACAGGAAAGAAGAGUGGAUUUCCGGGUAUACAAAAGACUAAAGACAUCCAGAAAUUACUUCUUUGUGAAGAAGAAUUAAGUCCUGGCAUAGAGACUGGACAGCUGGAAGAACACUUGGGGAACGGAAGUUCAGAAGCUCAGCUCAUGGUUUUGUCUGUUUGCCAUCAGACAUUUUUAGAGCCCUUGUGAAUUGUAAAGACCACUAUUAUUCAAAACCUCAGACUCCUAAUACCUGGGAAAGGCAAUGGAAAGAGAAUUUUCCUUUGGGUAAAUACAGGGGAAGCAGCAGAGAAGAGAAUGGCCUCUGAGGCCCCUUCCUGAGGACUGGCCAGAUUUCCACCCUGCUGGUAGGGAAAGGACAUUUCUGCCAGGAGACUUGGCUGCUUUUUGACUGGAAAGGAAAUUCCUGGAGAGAGACUUUACUGUUCCAAGGCUUUUGAGAUACAAGGGAAUCCCAGUAACCAAGGAUCAUGGGGAAGGCCAGAAAGCUGAUGCAUCCAGUCCUGAGAGCUCAGGCCAUCUCCUCAGAAGGAAGAGAUGCUGCUCUGGCCUUGGGGGAUGAAGGCCAGCACAGGGACUGACUCAUAAACCCGGGAACUGUGUGACUCCCCUUCCCACCCCUGCUCUCCCACCAGCCAAUCCCCAUUCUUUCCUCUGUUCAUAGACCCUGUAAGUCCAUAGAAGGGCAAGCAAUGAGCAACUUGACUUGUCCCCUUCCCCUCAGACCUGUCCUUAAUAAUUGAAAGGAAGGGUAUUUUUUUCUUUUAAAGCUCCACAUUAAGGCUGGUACAGUUCCUCCUCUCCCUCUUAGCACUUGGGAUUUGACACAUGAAACCUACCCAUUGUUCAUCUGUACGGCUCAUCCCCUUUCCAUGAAGAGUCCAUCUCACCGCCUCCUGCCAGCUUGGUGCUUUCUCCAAGGGCCACAAUGUCUCACCUAGCCUGAGGGCUUAAGUCCUAAUGCUGUGUUACUUACAUUGCCAGAACAAAUUAAGAUUCGCAAAGAAAAAAAAAAACUGGGGUGCCUGGCUGGCUCAGUCGGUACAACACAUGACUUGAUUUCAGGGUUGUGAGUUGAAGCCCCAUGUCAGGCGUGGAGCUUAUUUAAAAAAAAAAAAAAAGCCACUUCUCUUGUGUACAAUGACCCCACCACAAAGGCAGCUCUGUAAUUCAUACUGUGAGUUGCCUAGUUGGUUGCACUGUCCUAGACAUGUAACUCCCCAAGUUCAGCAAUACACAGCUCUCUCUUUGCUUCAACACGUACAUAAAUAUACUCUGGUCAUUUUGUGCCUGAUUUCCUGUAAUUGGCUCUGUAUGCUUUGUCCUUUUACUUUAUCUUUUCAAUUUUUUUUAAAGAUUUUAUUUUUCAAUACUCCCUGCACCCGACAUGGGACUCAAACUCACAACCCUGAGAUCAAAAGAGAUCAAGAGUCACAUGCUCUACCAACUGAGCUGGCCAGGCACUCCCAUCCUUUGACUUUAGAUUUGAGAUCACCAAGUUCCUUCCACCGUGUGCCCCAUCAAAAGAAAUUUCCUCAGUCGCUCUUCUCAUCCAAAAUUCAUGCUGGCUAGAUGAGGAAGAUUACUGUACACACCUUGAGACUUAAAAGGAAAUAGGCACCUCUUAUUUCAGGUGACUAGAUGCUAUAAUUACCCAGAAACCCACUAAGGAACCAGAAAGAGCUCCGGUGUCAGCAUCAAUUAUUAGCUGUGUGAGUCAAAUGAUAUUACAUAGCCUCUCUGAGUCUUAGUUUUGCCAUCUGUCACAUGUGGAUAAUAAUGCCUAGCUUACAGAGGUACUGAGAGAAUUAUGUGUAAUAUAUAUAAAGCAGCCAGUAUACAGUAAGCACUAGAUAAUUGGUAGCUAUAAUUAUUCCCCACGUCUAUAAUGAUAACCUUCAAGCAAAGCAUGCAAAGUAUUUCGCAGCAUAGAAACUACUUAAGAGCAAGGAAUAAACUUUGGCUAAAGGCAUGCCCAGUAUGCAGCCAUUUCCCUGACCCACACUCCAUUGUCAUCACUCAAGUUCAGUGGCCCAGCCAAGCAGGACUAGGCAUUGUCCUCAUGGUUUCCUUCUCCCUCCCCCAAUGGUUGCUUGAUUUAAAUUUUUUUUUACCAGUGGGGAAGAGGGGCAGAGGGAGAGAGAGAAAGAGAAUCCCAAGCAGCUACAUGCUCAGCACAGAGCCCAACAUGGGGCUUGAUCCCACAAGCCUGUGAUCAUGACCUGAGCCAAAACCAAGAGGUGGACAUUCAACCAACUGAGCCACCCAGGCAGCCCGGUUGCUUGAUUUUUUAAUCUCAUGGUUUCCUUAACUCUAUUACUUUCCACACUCAUCUCUAAAAAUAAGUAAAAUAACACCUCUUUCCAAAUUGGUUCAAACAAACAAAUAAAAAUCUAAAAGUCA